This 497-nucleotide ribosomal RNA is filed under the name uncultured bacterium. RNAcentral's name for it is "partial 16S ribosomal RNA". It matches the Rfam family "Bacterial small subunit ribosomal RNA", at positions 28 to 507 of the family's 1533-position model. The record is from RNAcentral.
GAUGAACGCUGGCGGCGUGCCUAAUACAUGCAAGUCGAGCGAACAGACGAGGAGCUUGCUCCUCUGACGUUAGCGGCGGACGUGUGAGUAACACGUGGAUAACCUACCUAUAAGACUGGGAUAACUUCGGGAAACCGGAGCUAAUACCGGAUAAUAUAUUGAACCGCAUGGUUCAAUAGUGAAAGACGGUUUUGCUGUCACUUAUAGAUGGAUCCGCGCCGCAUUAGCUAGUUGGUAAGGUAACGGCUUACCAAGGCAACGAUGCGUAGCCGACCUGAGAGGGUGAUCGGCCACACUGGAACUGAGACACGGUCCAGACUCCUACGGGAGGCAGCAGUAGGUAAUCUUCCGCAAUGGGCGAAAGCCUGACGGAGCAACGCCGCGUGAGUGAUGAAGGUCUUCGGAUCGUAAAACUCUGUUAUUAGGGAAGAACAAAUGUGUAAGUAACUAUGCACGUCUUGACGGUACCUAAUCAGAAAGCCACGGCUAACUACGUG